This 482-nucleotide ribosomal RNA is filed under the name uncultured bacterium. RNAcentral's name for it is "partial 16S ribosomal RNA". It matches the Rfam family "Bacterial small subunit ribosomal RNA", at positions 30 to 507 of the family's 1533-position model. The record is from RNAcentral.
AUUGAACGCUGGCGGCAUGCUUUACACAUGCAAGUCGAACGGUAACAGGCCGCAAGGUUCUGACGAGUGGCGAACGGGUGGGUAAUGCAUCGGAACGUGCCCAGUCGUGGGGGAUAACUACUCGAAAGAGUAGCUAAUACCGCAUACGAGCUAUGGAUGAAAGCGGGGGACCGUAAGGCCUCGCGCGAUUGGAGCGGCCGAUGUCAGAUUAGGUAGUUGGUGGGGUAAAGGCGCACCAAGCCAACGAUCUGUAGCUGGUCUGAGAGGACAACCAGCCACACUGGGACUGAGACACGGCGAAGACUCCUACGGGAGGCAGCAGUGGGGAAUUUUGGACAAUGGGCGCAAGCCUGAUCCAGCAAUGCCGCGUGCAGGAAGAAGGCCUUCGGGUUGUAAACUGCUUUUGUACGGAAAGAAACGGCUCUGGUUAAUACACGGGGAUAAUGACGGUAACGUAAGAAUAAGCAACGGCUAACUACGUG